UACAUUAUAGUGUACGAAGCACGAGAGUUUUUGAUACUUUUAGAAACAGUUUAAUUCUGUUAAAUGUAA
Molecule: transfer RNA, 69 nt
Filed under: Parafronurus youi
Lineage: Eukaryota; Metazoa; Arthropoda; Insecta; Ephemeroptera; Heptageniidae
Description: tRNA-Gln
Source: RNAcentral